RNAcentral lists this ribosomal RNA (1350 nucleotides) under uncultured bacterium. RNAcentral describes it as "bacterial SSU rRNA". It matches the Rfam family "Bacterial small subunit ribosomal RNA", at positions 28 to 1381 of the family's 1533-position model. The record is from RNAcentral.
AUUGAACGCUGGCGGCAUGCCUUACACAUGCAAGUCGAACGGCAGCGCGGGGCAACCUGGCGGCGAGUGGCGAACGGGUGAGUAAUAUAUCGGAACGUACCCUGGAGUGGGGGAUAACGUAGCGAAAGUUACGCUAAUACCGCAUACGAUCUAAGGAUGAAAGUGGGGGAUCGCAAGACCUCAUGCUCCUGGAGCGGCCGAUAUCUGAUUAGCUAGUUGGUGGGGUAAAGGCCUACCAAGGCAUCGAUCAGUAGCUGGUCUGAGAGGACGACCAGCCACACUGGAACUGAGACACGGUCCAGACUCCUACGGGAGGCAGCAGUGGGGAAUUUUGGACAAUGGGCGAAAGCCUGAUCCAGCAAUGCCGCGUGAGUGAAGAAGGCCUUCGGGUUGUAAAGCUCUUUUGUCAGGGAAGAAACGGUGAGAGCUAAUAUCUCUUGCUAAUGACGGUACCUGAAGAAUAAGCACCGGCUAACUACGUGCCAGCAGCCGCGGUAAUACGUAGGGUGCAAGCGUUAAUCGGAAUUACUGGGCGUAAAGCGUGCGCAGGCGGUUUUGUAAGUCUGUCGUGAAAUCCCCGGGCUCAACCUGGGAAUUGCGAUGGAGACUGCAAGGCUAGAAUCUGGCAGAGGGGGGUAGAAUUCCACGUGUAGCAGUGAAAUGCGUAGAGAUGUGGAGGAACACCGAUGGCGAAGGCAGCCCCCUGGGUCAAGAUUGACGCUCAUGCACGAAAGCGUGGGGAGCAAACAGGAUUAGAUACCCUGGUAGUCCACGCCCUAAACGAUGUCUACUAGUUGUCGGGUUUUAAUUAACUUGGUAACGCAGCUAACGCGUGAAGUAGACCGCCUGGGGAGUACGGUCGCAAGAUUAAAACUCAAAGGAAUUGACGGGGACCCGCACAAGCGGUGGAUGAUGUGGAUUAAUUCGAUGCAACGCGAAAAACCUUACCUACCCUUGACAUGUACGGAAGCCACGAGAGAUCGAGGUGUGCUCGAAAGAGAGCCGUAACACAGGUGCUGCAUGGCUGUCGUCAGCCCGUGUCGUGAGAUGUUGGGUUAAGUCCCGCAACGAGCGCAACCCUUGUCAUUAGUUGCUACGAAAGGGCACUCUAAUGGGACUGCCGGUGACAAACCGGAGGAAGGUGGGGAUGACGUCAAGUCCUCAUGGCCCUUAUGGGUAGGGCUUCACACGUCAUACAAUGGUACAUACAGAGGGCCGCCAACCCGCGAGGGGGAGCUAAUCCCAGAAAGUGUAUCGUAGUCCGGAUUGUAGUCUGCAACUCGACUGCAUGAAGUUGGAAUCGCUAGUAAUCGCGGAUCAGCAUGUCGCGGUGAAUACGUUCCCGGGUCU